UAGGGAAUAUUGCUCAAUGGGCGAAAGCCUGAAGCAGCAACGCCGCGUGCGCGAUGAAGGUCUUCGGAUCGUAAAGCGCUUUUCUGCGAGAUGAGAAAGGACAGUAUCGUAGGAAUAAGUCUCGGCUAACUACGUGCCAGCAGCCGCGGUAACACGUAGGAGGCGAGCGUUAUCCGGAUUCACUGGGCGUAAAGCGCGUGCAGGCGGUUUGGUAAGUUAGGCGUGAAAGCUCCCGGCUCAACUGGGAGAGGUCGUCUAAUACUACCAGGCUAGAGAGCAGAAGAGGAAGAUGGAAUUCCCGGUGUAGUGGUGAAAUGCGUAGAUAUCGGGAGGAACACCAGUGGCGAAGGCGAUCUUCUGGUCUGUUUCUGACGCUCAGACGCGACAGCUAGGGUAGUAAACGGGAUUAGAGACCCCGGUAAUCCUAGCCGUAAACGAUGUGAACUUGGCGUUGGUGGCUUAAACACCAUCAGUGCCGAAGCAAACGCGAUAAGUUCACCGCCUGGGGACUACGGCCGCAAGGUUA
Molecule: ribosomal RNA, 526 nt
Filed under: uncultured bacterium
Lineage: Bacteria
Description: bacterial SSU rRNA
Rfam family: Bacterial small subunit ribosomal RNA
Source: RNAcentral